UAAGUUUUAUUUGUGACGCGAUUUGGUUUAUCUUCCGAAGAAACUGUUAAGCUCACAAUGCUGAUAUGUUGUUGUUGUCGGCCACGUGUGUAGAUUGACACCGCGAUCGUGGAACACAUGGCUAUCUGCCUCGAAUAACUGCAAGCCGGCGCGCGCGUAGUGCCGUGGAGAACAAUCAGAAGUCCUGGACGACAAAGAAAAAAACUUCAAAGGUUUGUUGUACAUGUUUUCCACGGCAGCUGACAUAAACGUAAAAAAAAUUGGAAUGGUCAAAUGCAUGUGUCAAGUUUAACCAUUUGUAGUGGGCUGUGGACGAGAAUUAAGCAUUGCUGCACACAAGACUGGCUUGCCCUCAGUUUAUGCCCAGUACCAAAUUUUUUGCUCUCAUUAUGACACCAUUUGUAAGAAAAGCCAGAACUUAUGUUCAAAACAGCGCAUAUUCUUGCUAUUCUUUUAUUCAGUUGCACGUGUGAGUCCUGCUGCUGGCCAUCAGUUAGCCGGUUAUCAGAAGAAAAGGGCACAGCCCAGUUUGUACUGGUAUAUACCGUAUCGUUUGUGAUUAUGAUCAUGAUUUUUGUCUUACUGAAACAAGAAACUGAAAAAUGUAUGUUGGUGUUUCUGCUACAUCUCUAUGAAGCAGCAGAACCUGUUGCUCAGUCACUUGGUGCAUAUUAGCAACUGGCACCUUGUCUGGCUUCCCGAUACCUCCGCCUUUUUUCAGUGCAUAAGUAGUUUCACACAACCGAAAUGACCAACUAGCCCACUCUGUUUGUCAAGUAGGUUUUACUUCCAAACAAAUGUAGCACAUUUGUGAUAUGCACUGUUGCUCAAUGAUAUUCUUUUUGCAUGUGCUAGCUGUGUACACAUAUUACAUGAUCUUUUUUCUUUUUUUUCAGCUGCUUCUAGUAGUGGUGCCCCUGGUGUGCACCUUUACCCCAAAUGUCUGCACCUUUGCCUACCGGUAAUGACAUAGAAUGUGCUCAGCUUCCUGGACAUAGGCAUGCAGGUUACGAGACGGAAAACGUGCAGCUUAGACUUCAUGCUUGUAAAUGCGAAAGUCGUAACCGACACAAUUAGAGUAAGCUAAAAGGAGAAAUUUCUGCUUAUGAGCAAGUAAUUAUGAAGCAGGUUUUACUCCUUUUAAACUAGCAGACAUGCAACAACACAGUUGUGCUAUGUUUGUUUUGUGCGCCACUUUCAUGCAUAUUUGUGCUUGCAGUGGAUAUGCAUAUACAUGAAGGAUUUGUUUUUGUUUUCCUCAGCUGCCUCUGCGAACCCCGCUCCUGGACAACAGCUGGGAGGCUCUGUGUUUAAACGCGUGCACCUUGGACGUCAUGCUCCUGCCUCUGCGAGCCCUGCUGUUCGACGCCAGCUGGAAUGCUCUGCGUUUGAAAGCGUGCACCCCAGAUGUCAUGCUCAUAAAUACAGAGUUCUCAUGAUUCUAGUGUUGACAAAGCAAUAAGUAAAAGCAGGCACUUGUGUAUCUGGAAUGAGGUUUAACCCUGUCUUAGGAGACAUAAGACAAUAUAGUGAUGCUAUGUUCCUGUUGUUCACCAUUUUCAUGCAUGUUGUGUGCAGUACGUAUACAUACAUGCAGGCUUUGUUUUUGUUGUCCUCAGCUGCCUCUGCAAGCCCUUUUGCUGGACGCCAUGGAAGGCCCUCCACUCGAAAGUGUGCACCUUAGACUACACGCUCAUCAAUACCAAGUUCUCUGUCCUUCUCGGCAUGAUUGUAGUGCCAUAUAAUAGUGAGGCAAUAAAUCAUUUUUGCUGGUCA
Molecule: long non-coding RNA, 1776 nt
Organism: Rhipicephalus sanguineus (brown dog tick)
Lineage: Eukaryota; Metazoa; Arthropoda; Arachnida; Ixodida; Ixodidae
Exons: 2
Source: RefSeq, a predicted model, not a curated record